GAUAACCCUGUCUUUGAUAAUCAUUUUAAAUUGAUUAUUUUAAUACUACAGUGUAGACUUCAUCUGUAAUAGUGGAAAUGGUUGUCAUUGUUGUGUAGCUACAGAACCUUUUCAGUUAGCUCAAAUACUAUUGCCAACCUGCCGAAAUAAUUUACAGACAAUAUAUUAUCCUAAUGAUGUAGGUUUUCUUUGGUCCUAAACUUAACCUGCAAGUGGUAUUGAGUUUGGUUCCUUAUUGCAGUAAAGUAUGAUCAUCAUACUUUCCUGGGAGUAUAGCAGACAAAUGGAACCUAUAGUGUAUUAAUGUGAGGUUGGAGUCCAAAUUUUUGUUGAGAAAGCCCAGUCUAAAAAGCUAAAAUAAUAUGGGAAUAGGUCAAUGUUAGAACCCUUGCAGAUUCUAAACUUGGGGUUGAUCUCUUUAGGGGAUCGGCCUCCUUGGAACCCUAUAGGGGUUCCUCCCUCCAAGUUGCUGCUCAAAGGCUGCAGAAAAGAUUCAUCUAUUGCUUAUGAAAAGGGAAGAAAUACAUGACUAUUUAUAGGGCUUCUAAACCCUAACUCCUAAUAGGACUCCUACUUAAGACUCUUAUUUCUAACCAACUCCUAGUAGGACUCAUAGUCAAGACUCCUAUUCCCUUACAACUCCUAAUUCUUCUCUAAGAAAACACCUCCUACUUGAAUGCCCCUCUCAAUUAGGACUCUCCUAGCUAGAGUCCUAACAGAAUGUCCCUCUCAAUUAGGACUCUCCUAGCUAGAGUCCUAACAGUUUUACAUGAAUGUCCCUCUCAAUUAGGACUCUCCAAGCUAGAGUCCUAACAGACCUGCCCUCUUCAAAUCAGUCUUGUCCUCGAGGCUGAUGAUUCGUGAAUUCUGGGAAUUUGAUCUUCAAGUCGUCAUAGUUCUCCUAAGUGGCAUCUUCUAUUGGUAGAUUCGCCCACUUUAUUAGCACUUCAUUAGUGGGUUGUCGUCGUCGAGUCACAAUCCGUCGAUCAAUAAUGGCACUUGGCUGGGUCUGGAGUUCUCUUUGGGUAGUCAUAUUUGGUGGGUGGUUUUGGGCUGUCUCCAAGCGCCUAUUUAAAACUUUCGUCUAGCUGUUGGUUUGUGGGUAAUAUGUCGUACUCCUUUUCAAUUUAGUACCCUGCAUAUGGAAUAACUUUGUCCAAAAUCUGCUCUUGAAGAUGCAAGUAGAAUUUGUCACAAGCACAAUGCGUCCCUUAUAGCAAAAUUCUUUUGAGUCCCGAUUGUAAUGAGCCAUGGGGCUUGGUGCUUCCUCCAAUUUUUUAUAAUCUUACUAGUAUCUGAAUCUUCCUACCAUUCCAUCUUAAUAUCCUCAAGGACGUCGCUGGUCGGAAGUGAAACGGCCGAAACUUCAACUUGCUCGGGUAGCUACGAAAGCGUAUAUGCAAGAACAUUCUCUUUCCCCUUUUUGUAAGUUAUUUCAAAAUCAAAUCCAAGAAGUUUUGUUACCCAUUUUUGCUGCUCAGGGGAUGGUAUCUUUCGCUCCAAAAAAUACUUGAGGCUUUUAUGGUCGGUUUUAUUUUGAAAUCGUCGACCAAUCAAGUAGGGUCUCCACCUCGUUGCUGCGCGCACAAUGGCGAGCAUCUCCUUAUCAUAUGUUGACUUAUUUUGAUGGGAGGGAGAUAAUGCCUUGCUAGUGUAUGCGAGUGGUCGACCAUCUUGCAUAAGAAUGGCUCCAAUUCUAACUCCAGAUGCGUCGGCCUCAAUAAUGAAGGGUCGGUUAAAAUCUGGUAGUGUUAGCACCGACGUCGUCGUCAUGGCUGCCUUAAGUUUGUCGAAGGUAGCGGAGGCUCUGUCAGACCAUUGGAAGAUAUCUUUUUUCAGUAAGGAAGUAAGUGGUGCAUUGAUCUCUCCAUAGUUUUUCACAAACUUGCAGUAGUAGCCUGUUAAACCCAGAAAGCCAUGUAGCAAUUUUACGUUUCUCGGGGUAGGCCAGUUUUGCAUUGCUUCAAUUUUGAAGGGGUCCAUUGUCACACCUUCCUCUGAUAUGAUAUGCCCAAGAUAUUCCACCUUCUGUUGAAGAAAGCAAUAAUUCGUAAGGGUUGUUGUGUGUUCAAAAGGUGGUUUUCGGUAUGUCUUCUUCGCACACUCAUAUUUGAUGAUACCCGGAUCAAAGGUUCAGCUUUGUAAAGAUUUGUGCUCCCUUUCAUCUAGUAAUUCAUCUGCUAUUGGAAUAAGGUAUUUGUCCUUGAUGGUUAUGCCAUUGAGAGCUCGGUAAUCAACGCAUAUUCGCCAUGUUCCGUCCUUCUUGCGUACAAGUAGCACUAGUGAAGAGUAGGGGCUGCAACUUGGCCGAAUAACUCCUGUUUCGAGCAUCUCUUUUAUAAUCCUUUCUAUUUCAUCCUUCUGGAGAUGUGGAUACUGAUUUAGCUGAGUAUUUGCUGGAGAUUUGCUUGGAAGAAUCAUUAAACAAUGAUCAUGCCGAUGGGUAAGAGGUAGGUUGCACGGUUCCAUAAAUAUAUCUGAAAAUUCAACAAGCAAAGGAAGUAGGUUUGAAUCGUUAAAUUCUAUUAGCUCUCCCUUUGUUUGUUGCUCAAGUUGUACCAAGAAUCCGCUGCAUGCUUUAUGCAAAACCUUCUCCAUUUGUUGUGUGCAAAUCAUCGUUACGUCGCCCUCACGUUUCCCGUGCAGUAUCACCUGUUUCUCUUUACUGCAAAAUUUCAUAAUUAGUUGCAUAAAAUUCCAAGAAACAUCACAUAAUGUCAUCAACCAUUCAAUUUUGAGCAUGGUCUUAUGAUCGUCACGAGCGAGAAGGAAGAAAUCUGAAAUUAUCUUGUGGUCCUGCAGCAACAGUUUCACUCGCGGGCGCCUACAAUCAUACUUCAAAAUCCAUUCGUCGGCGACCUUAAUGUCAAGCCUACUGCAAUUCUUGAUAGGGACUCGGUCGACAGUAGGAGGGGCUGAGGGCUUCAGUAUUGCUGGUUGAGGAGUGACCAUAGUCCUCCGAGCUUCAUGAUUCAAUUGCUCCUCUUGAUGUCGUGCGAAAGAGAUAGCUGCCAUAAGCGUGUAUGGUUGUCGCGCUUUAACUUCUUCCCGGAUCUCCGGCUUCAAGCCCUCAAUGAAGGUCCUCAAUAGCUGUUUUUGAGACCAAUCACAAGUUUGAUUAUAUAACCUUUCAAACCUGGUUUGGUACUUCCGAAUGGUGGAGGUUUGUUGGAUCUUUGCUAGUUGUCCGUCAAUAUUCUCGUAAUCGGUUGGUCUGAAGCGGAUCAGCAGUCCUUCUUUGAAUUGUUGCCAUGAAAAGACUCCAUAAGUAUAUGUUCAAACCAGUCAAACCAUUGUAUGGCAUCCCCUUCAAGAUGUAUAGCCGCAAUUUUCACCAUAGAUGCGUCUGUGGUUUUGUGGUACCGAAAAUAUCACUCCGCGCGUGAGAUCCAACCAAUCGGGUCUCCUUCUUCCCAUUUAGGGAAGUCCACUCUCAUGCAUGGAUAGUUGAGAUCAGUCAUAGUGCCUCCCCUCCCUUGAAAGUCAUCUCUUCGGGCUUGGUGCGAUUGGGCAAAGCUCUCUCCGUGAUAUGAUUUUUUUCGGGCUUAGUAGUCGGCCCAAUCUGAGUUCAGUAAAGAGCGUCCGAAUCUUAUCCUCCAUUCGCGCCUCCAAGGUUUCGAAUUUAGCAUCGAUUGCCUCCUUAGAUGCCAUAGUAUAUGCCUCUAAAUCUAUGAUGUUAAGAUCUCUCUUUUGUUGUCAGGUUAAAGGCAUAUAUAGGUUGAGAGAAGUGAUGGUCGAAAGGGUUGGUGGAUCGGUGGAUGUAGGCUACGAUUUAGGCUUGUUUUGUGGCUGUUUUGGGUGCAGUUUGAGGGUUUGGUUUGGUGGAGUUUUAGGGCUGUGGAUGAAAGUUUUGGAUCUGUGGUAGAUGACAGCAAAGGUUUGAGAGAAAUCAGUGGAAAUUGCAGCAAGUAUGUGUUGUCUUGUAAGAGCAGAAUUGUCGUCGAAGAAACAGCGGUUUCUCGACGUAAUUUCCACCAAAAACUUGAAAGAAUUGAGGAGGGAAUUGAUAGCAAAAUCACAGUUUAUAUGACAGCAAGGAUGACUAAUUUAAUCAAGAAAAUUUCGGCAGUAUAAUAGCAAGGAAAUUGGUGCAAUUUGCGAUAGCAGAAUUCUCGUCGAAAAAUUUCAGCAGUUUACGAUGAAAAUUUAUAGCAACACAAAAAUCGGUUUUAGAGAUGAAUUCCUCAAUAGAUCAAUCUUAGAUGGAAGCCAAGAUGAUCUAUAAAGUGUAUAAGAAAUUUUAUUCAAAAAAGAUUGCAAAUAGAUGGGUUAAGGCAACAAUAUGCGGCUGAAAUUUUUUGCAGCAUAGAUUUUUAAGUAUAGCAGAUUGGACAUAAAAGAUCAGAAGUUUAUAUUGAGAAUUUUUUGAUGAAACCAAAGGGAAAUCCACUAUUAGGAAGUGUCAAAGCUAUCAUAAAAAUUUCGUAGAGAUUUGGAUAGAAACAACGUAGUAUCAAGAUCAAACAAUCAGUGUUAUGUGGCUGAAAUUUUACGGUGUAGAUUUUCAAGUAUAGCAGAUUAGAUGUAAAAUAUCAAUGGUUAAUUUGAGAAUUUUUUGACAAAACCAAAGGGAAAUCUGGUGUUAGGAAGUAUCAAAGAUGUCAUAAAAUUUCGUGGAGAUUUGGAUAGAAAAAACAUAGUAGCAAGAUCAAACAGACAGAGUGCUAUACGGUUGGAAUUCUGCAAUGUAUCUUUCGUCGUAGAGAUGAAAACUUUAUGACGAAAAGUUUAUGCAGCAAUAUAGGAAUAAUUUUUUUGGGAUUUUCAAAUAAAGAUAACUAAAUUGCAGCAGCAGUAAGGUAGAAAACCAGAACCUGUUGCAAUUCACGGGGAGAUCAAAGGAUGAUCCGUGGUGGUGGAGAUGAUGGUGGAAUUCGGCGAUGAUCUUUUAAGCAAUUGUGGGAAUUGCUUUGGACGGUUGUUGAGGGUUGAUGGAUGGCUGUGGAAGGGCAGCGAGACGCCAAGAACGCUGCUCUGAUACCAGGUGUUAGAACCCUUGCAGAUUCUAAACUUGGGGUUGAUCUCUUUAGGGGAACGGCCUCCUUGGAACUCUAUAGGGGUUCCUCCCUCCAAGUUGCUGCUCAAAGGCUGCAGAAAA
Long non-coding RNA from Musa acuminata AAA Group (dessert banana), 5098 nucleotides. RefSeq lists it as uncharacterized. The record is from RefSeq and is a predicted model, not a curated record. The transcript is spliced from 2 exons. NCBI's taxonomy places the organism in Eukaryota, Viridiplantae, Streptophyta, Magnoliopsida, Zingiberales, Musaceae.